GGAUUAGGCAUGCAAGUCGAACGAGACCGAUCCCUUCGGGGUGAACGUCUAGUGGCGAACGGGUGAGUAAUACAUGGACGACCUGCCUCCGAGUUGGGGACAACAGCUGGAAACGGCUGCUAAUACCCAAUCGUCCAGAGAUGGUAAAGGUGGGGACCUUCGGGCCUGCCACUUGGAGAGGGGUCCAUGUCCUAUCAGCUUGUUGGUGAGGUAACGGCUCACCAAGGCGAAGACGGGUAGCCGGACCGAGAGGUUGGCCGGUCACACUGGGACUGAGACACUGCCCAGACUCCUACGGGAGGCUGCAGUCGAGAAUCUUCCGCAAUGGGCGAAAGCCUGACGGAGCGACGCCGCGUGGAGGAUGAAGGCCUUCGGGUUGUAAACUCCUGUCACAUGUUAGGAAAUAGCCUGGGCAAAUACCCCAGGUGUUGACAAAAGCGUGAAAGGAAGUCACGGCUAACUUCGUGCCAGCAGCCGCGGUAAGACGAAGGUGGCAAGCGUUGCUCGGAAUCACUGGGCAUAAAGAGCACGUAGGUGGCUUGGUAGGCGAAGAAUGAAAUCCCAUGGCUCACCCAUGGAACGGUUCUUCGAACUGCCUAGCUUGAGGGCGGGAGGGGGAAGUGGAAUUCCUGGUGUAGCGGUGAAAUGCGUAGAUAUCAGGAGGAACACCGGUGGCGAAAGCGACUUCCUGGCCCGUCCCUGACACUGAGGUGCGAAAGCUAGGGGAGCAAACAGGAUUAGAUACCCUGGUAGUCCUAGCUGUAAACGAUGGGCACUAAGUAGAGGGGUUUU
Molecule: ribosomal RNA, 792 nt
Filed under: uncultured Planctomycetota bacterium
Lineage: Bacteria; Pseudomonadati; Planctomycetota
Description: bacterial SSU rRNA
Rfam family: Bacterial small subunit ribosomal RNA
Source: RNAcentral